CUCGCGCCCGCUCACGUGCACGAUCAGCACCGCGAUCGCAAAGAUCGGCAGCGUCUCGAAGAGGUUCGCCUGCGCGCGCAUCAGGCGUGCGCAGAACCUCCCGGGUGGCGGCACGGGGCCGUCGCGCGGGC
RNAcentral lists this transfer RNA (131 nucleotides) under Candidatus Paraburkholderia schumanniana. RNAcentral describes it as "Candidatus Paraburkholderia schumannianae tRNA-Ala". The record is from RNAcentral. Lineage: Bacteria; Pseudomonadati; Pseudomonadota; Betaproteobacteria; Burkholderiales; Burkholderiaceae.